GAUGAACGCUAGCGGGAGGCCUAACACAUGCAAGCCGAGCGGUAUUGUUUCUUCGGAACUGAGAGAGCGGCGUACGGGUGCGUAACACGUGUGCAACCUGCCUUUAUCUGGGGGAUAGCCUUUCGAAAGGAAGAUUAAUACUCCAUAAUAUAUUGAACGGCAUCGUUUAAUAUUGAAAGCUCCGGCGGAUAGAGAUGGGCACGCGCAAGAUUAGCUAGUUGGUGAGGUAACGGCUCACCAAGGCGAUGAUCUUUAGGGGGCCUGAGAGGGUGAGCCCCCACACUGGUACUGAGACACGGACCAGACUCCUACGGGAGGCAGCAGUGAGGAAUAUUGGUCAAUGGGUGCAAGCCUGAACCAGCCAUCCCGCGUGAAGGACGACCGCCCUAGGGGUUGUAAACUUCUUUUGUAUAGGGAUAAACCUACGCUCGAGAGGGUAGCUGAAGGUACUAGACGAAUAAGCACCGGCUAACUCCGUG
RNAcentral lists this ribosomal RNA (479 nucleotides) under uncultured bacterium. RNAcentral's name for it is "partial 16S ribosomal RNA". It matches the Rfam family "Bacterial small subunit ribosomal RNA", at positions 28 to 507 of the family's 1533-position model. The record is from RNAcentral.